CCUACGGGAGGCAGCAGUGAGGAAUAUUGGUCAAUGGACGAGAGUCUGAACCAGCCAAGUAGCGUGAAGGAUGACUGCCCUAUGGUUUGUAAACUUCUUUUAUAUGGGAAUAAAAUGUUCCACGUGUGGGAUUUUGUAUGUACCAUAUGAAUAAGGAUCGGCUAACUCCGUGCCAGCAGCCGCGGUAAUACGGAGGAUCCGAGCGUUAUCCGGAUUUAUUGGGUUUAAAGGGAGCGUAGGUGGAUUGUUAAGUCAGUUGUGAAAGUUUGCGGCUCAACCGUAAAAUUGCAGUUGAAACUGGCAGUCGUGAGUACAGUAGAGGUGGGCGGAAUGCGUGGUGUAGCGGUGAAAUGCAUAGAUAUCACGAAGAACUCCGAUUGCGAAGGCAGCUCACUGGACUGCAACUGACACUGAGGCUCGAAAGUGUGGGUAUCAAACAGGAUUAGAUACCCUAGUAGUC
Molecule: ribosomal RNA, 460 nt
Filed under: uncultured bacterium
Lineage: Bacteria
Description: partial 16S ribosomal RNA
Rfam family: Bacterial small subunit ribosomal RNA
Source: RNAcentral